This is a long non-coding RNA of Gasterosteus aculeatus aculeatus (three-spined stickleback), 3438 nucleotides long. Lineage: Eukaryota; Metazoa; Chordata; Actinopteri; Perciformes; Gasterosteidae. The record is from Ensembl.
UGGCUGAUUUGAAACUCGCUUCUGGAGCAGCCUCCACAACAUCCACGUCCACUCUUUCCCUCACCACAGCUGUACGGGGCUUUUGCUCAGACAAACCACGUACCCCUGUGUGCGUGAAGCUGGUUACCUGUGACGCUGCCCGCUUGGUCGUUUCAUAACGGCAGGCAAUGUCGUAGGCUUGGGCUAGUGUGUGGGGCCGCUUCUCCAACAACUUCUGUACAAUCUGUGUAUCCCCAAUAGCAUGAGUGAAAACCUCUACACCUAUGGCAUCUUGCUCUUUUUCAGUCCUGUCACUGACAUAUAUGUCAUCCCGUAAGAGGUGGAGAGAUUCACCUGGUUUGCGGACACGCUGUCUCAACUCGACAGCCACUGCAGCGGCAUGUUCUGAGGAUGGACCAUAGGCAAUUUCGACUUCCUCCACCAGGCGGCCGUAAUCCCACUGAACUGACCGUGGGUUCCUGUGGACAAUGGCUCCUGCCGCACCCACCAGGCAGAAUUUUAACUGAAUGCCUUUGGUCUCUUCAGUCCAGCGGUUCGCCUUCGCGCAGCUCUCAAACCGGUGCAAGAAUUCCCUCCACGGUGUAGUGCCAUCAUACUGGCCGGGACGCAGGAUGGGUAUUCUUUCCCUGGAGUCAUACUCAUCCUCACUCUCCGAAGAAACUUGGUGGCGUUUGGAAUGGGGCCGGCGUGCAUGUGACUUAUGCUGCUCAUAGAUGGGGAGAGGGCACUGUGAUGGCAUUUCUACAUUAUUAACAUUCUUGAGUGAAUUGUCAUCAGUGCGGUGCGAAUGUGAGCCCAUGGGGCGUGGGGAAGGACAAGGGGACUGGAGUGCUAUGAAUGAAAGUCCCUUCGUGCUCGCCAGUGUUAACCUUUCCUGCCUGUCCGUCUCUGACCGUAGUUGGAGACUUCGUUCUCUGCUCCAGGGCCAAGUAUUGCCUGUUGCUAAUACUUGGGGUUUAUACCCUUCACUUUCCUUCCUCCUGCCGGUUAGUGAAUAAAACGCCCGCUGUAUGCUUUCUUUGAAGAUUUAUUGAACACUGAGUAACACGGUUACAGCACAUGGGUUUCUCCGGUCGCUACGUCCACACACAACAUUAACAAAAACUCUGCUCCUUCUCUCCCACUCGCUCACUCACUCAUCCCUGCUCCGUACGUGCUGCUCUUAAAGGGGCCGCACCAUUUUACAACAACGUGAUCAGUGACGUCCGAAGCUUCGUUCCGGCACAGUCACGUGACUGCUUCGAUUUGAUUCAAUGGGCUGGAAACAGGGUUCGGGAUUGUCAGUUUGAUACAGUCAAAGUCAGUGUUGUUGUUGUAGCAAAGAGCAAAUUUACAAUGGAACCUGUGGCAAAGAGAGGUCGCUCCGAGAUAUGGCAGCACUAUUGAUUUCCUCUAACACGGUUGGCAAUAGGCAGGCAAAGUCUGUCAUUUGUAUUGUGUAAUUAUGGAUGUUUAUUUUUAUUGUGGAGACCACCCGAUAUUUGGCUGAGCCAAACAUUCAUCGGAGUGAAGAUAUUGGGUCAAACACAAACAUGCGUACCCACAUCUAUUUGUAUUAGCACGUAAUCUUUUGAGCAUUCCUGCCUCAUCGUGCCGUGUGAGGGCGUUUUUUCUAAAGCUGGGGAAAAAGAAACCGACUCAACCCCAAUACUGUGGAGAAAAUUAUGUUUCUCAAUAAAAAUCAAUAAUAAUUUCUUGCCCCAUCCCAUGUGUCCACAAGCACCUCAAUAUCAUGUCAUAAGAAACCUGUCCAAAAGCACAAUCACUGCCCCACUGACCUUUCCUCUGCAAAUCACUUCCCACAUUCAAACAAUUCACAUAAGUCCCUAUGACUGCCAUGAACUGCACAUGCAGUAGGAAGCACUUGCUGGUUCUUCUGCUGGUAUGAUCACAAACAUACAUGCACAAAGGUGCAGAAAGACAUAGAGAAGUGCUUGUUCCACUUCUUUCCACUGGACAGAGAAUUGAAAUACACAAACAAGGACACAAUUCAAACCUGAAAAACAAGUUUUAUUCACAUAGCAAUCCAUGUAUUUAUUAGAUGAUUUAUUGGUUCAACUUUUCAUAAUCAGAGAUUGUGCCAAAUAUACUGGUAGACUAUUCAAUACAUUUGCACUACAAGUUUUCAACAGCAGAGGUCAUCAUAGAGUAGUGUUGUUACCUCCGACCCUCCAGCUUCGAAGCUUGUGUCGAAAUAUGAACCAGUGCAAAGGCGAAGCAAUUGUAUCGGUGCUCGGUUCGUUCGCUGCUGAUCACGUGAUCAGUGACGUCCGAAGCUUCAUUCCGGCGCACAGUCACGUGACCGCUUCGAAUUGAUUCAAAUGGGCGCGAAACAGGGUCGGGGCUUGUCUGUUUGAUACAGUCAAAGUCAGUGUUGUUGUAGUAGUAGUAGUACUACUUUUUGCUACUAGUAGUAGUACUACUACUACUACUACUACUACUACUACUAGUAGCAAAGCGCAAAUUUACAAUAGAACCUGUGGCAAAGAGAGGUCGCUCCGAGAUGUGGGAGCACUUCAAUUUGAUUUCCUCUAACAAGGUUUGUAAUAGGCAGGGAAAGUCUGUCAUUUGUAUUGUGUAAUUAUAGAUGUUUAUUUUUAUUUGGGUUUUGUAGUGGAACUAUACAUGUGCCUUUAUUUUAUUCGUGAAAAACAUCCUUUUUAAAAAUUCUGUUGUCAGGUCCAAUGUUUGGUUUGCCAUCAGCAAUUGGCCUAUAAUAACACCUCAUCCAUGCCAAGCAUGAGGCUGGUCAAGCUGCAACAAGCAUCCAUGGUGAUAGGAAGGCCAAGAUUGACGAGGCACUGGUGAACAUGAUUGUCAAGGAUUCGCAGCCCUUCAAGGUUGUGGAAGAUCAAGGCUUUAGGGCCUUGGUGUCUCUUUUGGACCCCACCUAUGUCCUUCCUUCAAGGCAGACCUUGAAAUCUAUGGUGGAGGCCAAGUAUCACGAGGAGAAGCAGAAGGCCAAAGAAAAGGUCCAGAAGGCUACUGCUGUGGCUUUGACCUCUGAUAUGUGGACAUCCAUCCACAUGGACUCGUACCUGGCCUUCACUUGCCAUUUUGUGGAUGAAGGGGACAGGUUGGCUACUGUUUUGCUGGCAGUUGCCAAGUUUGGGAAGAGGCACACGGCUUCAAAUAUUGCCUCUGUGAAAGGGUCCAUAAUGGAGGAAUGGGGAAUCUCCAAAUCCAAAGUUAUGUGCCUAACAACAGAUGGGGCCUCUAACAUGACCCUGUGUAGUACCAUGAUGGAGAUCAGGCACAGCCACUGCAUUGCACACGCAUUGAAUUUAGUUGUAAAGAAAUCAAUGAAAUGAACACCUGGUCUGGAGGAGGUCCGCACUAAGGCGAGGGAUAUUGCCACACACUUCAGAACCAGCACUGUGGCUAGAGAGCGCCUUCUCUGUCUUCAGAAGCAAAUGGGUGCUCCAUGUGCAAAACUCA